RNAcentral lists this ribosomal RNA (655 nucleotides) under uncultured archaeon. RNAcentral describes it as "bacterial SSU rRNA". It matches the Rfam family "Archaeal small subunit ribosomal RNA", at positions 915 to 1478 of the family's 1478-position model. The record is from RNAcentral.
ACCGUUCCCUACUUCCUUGUUUGGCCAGCCCGGUCCAGAACCGACUCCCCUGGAGACGUCCAAGUACUAAGAUUGGGGGCCCCACCGGGACUCGGUAUUGCUACCCGGCACUCCCGGAUGGCAGGGAAUAAUACCGGUGAGAUUUUCUACUAAAGGAGGUCAUUGCGUCGUCAGUCGUCUUGAGCAUCUUGUAAGUAGGCACCAACGAGCCCACGCCAACAGUUCCAGCACGACCUCCGGGUCGGUGGGACACUGUUGGCCGCCUCUGCUAAGAGGGAAGAAUGGGAACGGAGGUCAGCAUGCCCCGAUUAUCCGGGCUACACGCGGGCUACAAUGGGCAGGACAAUGGGCCCUACACCAAAGGUGGAAGGUAAUCUCUUAAACCUGUUCUAAGUUCGAUUGUGGGCUGAACUCGCCCACAUGAAAGCUGAAUCCGUAGUAAUCGCGUUUCAAAAUAGCGCGGAAAUACGUCCCUGCUCCUUGCACACACCGCCCGUCAAACCACCCGAGUGACGGUUUGGAUGAAGGCCAUCGGUCGUUGCCGUGGUCGAAUCUAGGUUUCGCAAGGGGGGUAAGUCGUACAUCAAGGUAAGCAAGAAUCCCCAGGCCAUGGCCAACGGGACGCAUUGUGCAUGGCUCCAGAACACGCAUGCCU